This 253-nucleotide ribosomal RNA is filed under the name uncultured bacterium. RNAcentral describes it as "partial 16S ribosomal RNA". It matches the Rfam family "Bacterial small subunit ribosomal RNA", at positions 524 to 776 of the family's 1533-position model. The record is from RNAcentral.
GACGAACCGUACGAACGUUAUUCGGAAUCACUGGGCUUAAAGGGUGCGUAGGCGGUCGGGUAAGUCUGGCGUGAAAUCUCCAAGCCUAACUUGGAAACUGCGUUGGAUACUAUCCGGCUCGAGGAAUGGAGGGGAGACUGGAAUACUUGGUGUAGCAGUGAAAUGCGUAGAUAUCAAGUGGAACACCAGUGGCGAAGGCGAGUCUCUGGACAUUUCCUGACGCUGAGGCACGAAAGCCAGGGGAGCAAACGGG